CACAGAGCCAGGGCGAAGAUCACAUAUGGUAUGAGAUUUCGUCAGAAAUUUGUGGGGCGCAUGGAUCGUCCUGGUCAUCAAAAUGAGGAAGUCGUGCCUUUGGAGCACACAGACCUUCAGAAAGGAAAACAUUUCAGGUUCCUAUCAGGAAAAUCAGCUACCCUCUGCUGAACCCAUUCAGAGUUCAGCCACUGAGAGGAAACACGAAAGCUGACACGUUCACUAGCCUGAACACAUGAAACUAAUAAAAACCAAAGCAAAACAGGCUUAACCCACCCAUCACCUUCUGAAGAGAAUACCUAUGACUCAAAAUUAGGAAAUGACAAACACCACGAGCAGACCAGAGGGAAGUUAGUUGCCAAAGUGUUUACAGGAGAGUCAUCUACCCAAUGUGACAGACAGCUCAGUCUCCAUCUCUGC
RNAcentral lists this long non-coding RNA (420 nucleotides) under Heterocephalus glaber (naked mole-rat). RNAcentral's name for it is "lncRNA (ENSHGLG00100039388.1)". Lineage: Eukaryota; Metazoa; Chordata; Mammalia; Rodentia; Bathyergidae. The record is from RNAcentral.